Molecule: ribosomal RNA, 343 nt
Filed under: uncultured bacterium
Lineage: Bacteria
Description: bacterial SSU rRNA
Rfam family: Bacterial small subunit ribosomal RNA
Source: RNAcentral
AGGGUUUGAUUCUGGCUCAGGAUGAACGCUGGCGGCGUGCCUAACACAUGCAAGUCGAGCGGGAAAUCUUGGAAUGAACCUUCGGGGGAAUGAAGAGAUGGAGAGCGGCGGACGGGUGAGUAACGCGUAGGCAACCUGCCCUUUGCAGAGGGAUAGCCACUGGAAACGGUGAUUAAAACCUCAUAAUGCUAAGAUGUCACAUGGCAAUUUAGUCAAAGAUUCAUCGGCAAAGGAUGGGCCUGCGUCUGAUUAGAUAGUUGGUGAGGUAACGGCUCACCAAGUCAACGAUCAGUAGCCGACCUGAGAGGGUAAUCGGCCACAUUGGAACUGAGACACGGUCCAA